UACCCAGACUCCUACGGGAGGCAGCAGUGGGGAAUAUUGGGCAAUGGGCGCAAGCCUGACCCAGCAACGCCGCGUGAAGGAUGAAGGUUUUCGGAUUGUAAACUUCUGUCGCGAGGGACGAAGAAUGACGGUACCUCGUAAGAAAGCCCCGGCUAACUACGUGCCAGCAGCCGCGGUAAUACGUAGGGGGCAAGCGUUGUCCGGAUUUACUGGGUGUAAAGGGCGUGUAGGUGGCAUGGCAAGUCAGAAGUGAAAGCCCGGGGCUCAACCCCGCGGACUGCUUUUGAAACUGUCAGGCUGGAGUACAGGAGAGGUAAGCGGAAUUCCUAGUGUAGCGGUGAAAUGCGUAGAUAUUAGGAGGAACACCAGUGGCGAAGGCGGCUUACUGGACUGUAACUGACACUGAGGCACGAAAGCGUGGGGAGCAAACAGGAUUAGAUACCCUCGUAGU
RNAcentral lists this ribosomal RNA (451 nucleotides) under uncultured bacterium. Its description in RNAcentral is "bacterial SSU rRNA". It matches the Rfam family "Bacterial small subunit ribosomal RNA", at positions 328 to 794 of the family's 1533-position model. The record is from RNAcentral.